RNAcentral lists this long non-coding RNA (231 nucleotides) under Carica papaya (papaya). RNAcentral describes it as "long non-coding RNA (CPAP_LNC008120)". Lineage: Eukaryota; Viridiplantae; Streptophyta; Magnoliopsida; Brassicales; Caricaceae. The record is from RNAcentral.
AGAGCAAACCCUUUAAUUCAACAUGGUAGAGAAUCAAAACAAUCUUCUUGAAGGAGGCGAGAACAAUAAUGGUGCUAGAGGUGCUCAACCUAUUCGUACCAUGAGAGACUAUGUCAUGCUAUCAUUGGAAGGCAUAAGUCCGAUCAUUUUGAGACUUGUUGUUCAAGCUAACAACUUAGAGCCAACAAUAUUAUAGUUGAUCUAAUAGAUUUGUCAAUUUGGAGGAUUGCC